Molecule: small nucleolar RNA, 90 nt
Filed under: Sungouiella intermedia
Lineage: Eukaryota; Fungi; Ascomycota; Pichiomycetes; Serinales; Metschnikowiaceae
Source: RNAcentral
AUUAAAUGAGGAAUUAUUGCACUGGGCACUGAUAUUGCAUGAGUGACAACGCAUAAUUGUGGGCCUCAGAAACCCACUUAAACUGAUUUU